This 448-nucleotide long non-coding RNA is filed under the name Nicotiana benthamiana. RNAcentral describes it as "long non-coding RNA (NBEN_LNC032560)". The record is from RNAcentral. Lineage: Eukaryota; Viridiplantae; Streptophyta; Magnoliopsida; Solanales; Solanaceae.
AGUAAAACCUCAGAUUCAUACUAGAACCACGAUGAUUCAAUAAAAAAACCUAACCUAAAUCAAAUCAAGGAUUCCAUGAGUAAGAAUCCUCGGAUCAUCACUUAUUCCCUGAAUAAAUAGAAUGACUAAAAAUUCAAAGAAAGGUUUUGCUUUUGGUCUAAAUAGAAAUAGGGGUUGAAAGAAAAGAAUCUUUCGAUUUAGAAAUUAGAAUUCUUUGUUUGAAAAUUUUUUGGAGCCCGUACACGAGGUCUGAAUAUUAAGUAUGAAUCAUAGUUCAAAUAUUUCUUAAUCUAUUUCGUGUUCCAAAUAUUAGAAUAAAUAUCUGACGAAGUAGAACNNNNNNNNNNNGAACCACGAUGAUUCAAUAAAAAAACCUAACCUAAAUCAAAUCAAGGAUUCCCUGAGUAAGAAUCCUCGGAUCAUCACUUAUUCCCUGAAUAAAUAGAAU